This is a non-coding RNA of Myodes glareolus (Bank vole), 9649 nucleotides long. NCBI's taxonomy places the organism in Eukaryota, Metazoa, Chordata, Mammalia, Rodentia, Cricetidae. The record is from RefSeq and is a predicted model, not a curated record.
CAGCCCCUAGCGCAGACGGCGAAGAACUGGGAUAGAGCUCGCCUUGGCUCUGCUGGCCUUGGCUGCAGCUCUCCCAGGGAAGCGGGGCACCCACACGAGAAUCCCAUACCUGGCUCUCUCUUCAGGGAUGACAUCAUCGGCUCACCCCAGUCUUCAAGGACCGCCUUCUUUGGAAGCCAAGCUGUCACUCAAGUACCUGUGGCGAUACCUGAUGAACAUCUCUAUCUCCUGAGGCAAGGAGCAUGGAUUCCUGGAACCCACCAGCACAACAGAGCAGUCCCCUACGGACCCCCAAGACCAGGACAUCGAGGGACAAGGGACAAAGAGGAUCAGCAGUAUUCAUCUAGCCUCCCUCUGGGUUCAAGCCUUGAACCAACGCCCUAGUGAGGGGGCAUUGGUCAUGACCUCAGACCUCUGUUCUGCUUGUGCCUUGAAUCUGAGCCCGUCCCUGUGUGUCUCUGCUUGUGUUCAUCUGUCAGUGAAGUGGAGUGCUUCCCUCCCCAAGGGGGGUCGUCCCUUGUGACUGACCAUGUUGUCCUAACAAUGUCCUGAGCAGAAGGAUCCCUUUGGGAACCUCUCAGGAGGGGGGACCUGGGCCAGGGGCCACCAACAUCGUGCUGGCAACUCCGUGGGUGGGGGUGGGGUGCUUCUUGAAUGAGCAUGUGGCUGACCCCCAAAGGCAUGCCCCCCCUCCACCCACCUUCUUGGAGAUGUCCCUUCAUUUGGGGGUAACGGGGACAUUAGGAGCAACCUCCUAGGGUUGUUGUGAGAAUUAAAUGAUGCAGAAGAGCCUGAGGCAGGGCUGGGCAGGCCCCUCAGCAGUGUUUGUUGAAAGGUGUGCAGGUGGCUGUCCUCCCACUCGCGAGCUCGGCUCACUCGUCUCAUCUAUCCUCCCGCAGCCCCUGUAGCCCUGUGCACAGGGCUCUCCUUGCACCAGCCCGGCUUCUCGAGGCCUGUCUACACUCGCUGCUUUCCUUCCUCACCUCCAAUUUCCCCUCCAACCCACUGCUUCCUGAUCCGCUCUUCUCCAUCGAACGGCUCUCGCGCAGGUAAAGACUUUUCUGUAGCUUGACCCUUGGCACGACUCCAGCCUGGCUGGACACAAGGACACAUGCAUCGCCAUUCCUCCUGUUCCAUGGCUUCAUGGCUCUGGUUCCCUUCUACUUCCACAUUACUGGCUUCAUGGACACUAUUCUCGCUUUUCCCUGGGAACUCGCAUUCCCAGCCCUCUCAGUUUCCCAGACCUGCCUCAUACCACCCAGCUGGCAGUGCUGCCUAGAGCACUCUGGGGUUGGCUGAUCGGGGCUCGGGUCUAAGGUCAACCACUUAAUACUGGGACCACAGUGUAAGACAGCUCUUCCAAGCUGCAUUGGCUAAAAUAGGGUUAAUGGUCUUCACCAGGAAGGCCAGGUGUGCUCCACCAGGUAAGCCUCAGAUGCCUUAACUGAGGGACCGGAGGUGAAAUCAAUUAGAUAUUCCUGAGCAAAUGCAAUUUAAGUCACAAUUAAGUUUUCUUGAAGUGAAGUUCCCACAGAGAAGACCAAAGAGGAGAGGGGAGAAGGGGGGGCAUUAAAGACAGCAAAGGCAAGGGGGAGGGGAUUUGGAAAAAUGUUAAGACCUACCCAAACCUCAUCUAGAAAAAGCAUUCCCUCCUAGGUUAGCCUGGGCUUAGAAGAAAAAACCAGAAGGAAGCUUUUAAGUUGAUUACCCAGUGACAAACCCCAGGAAACUUCCCUAUCACAUUGCCCCAUUCAAGGGUUUUGAGUUCCUCUGAGGUUUAACCUCUGCACCUCCUGCCUCUACCCGUUGCCUCCCUGGACUCGUGAUUAAGUCCUCAAGGUACAAGAAGGGUCUCAGGGAAUGGCUGGUCCACAUUGUAGAGCCGCCACUAUCCCCGACUGUUUUUUUUUUCCUUUAAGGUUUACUCUACCUUUUGCCCUUUCUCUUUAAUGAACAUGGGGCUAAUCUUGGGCCUUGUAGAAGGGAAAGGCUGCAGAGUAAUGAGGUAGCUACCGGGCUCCAAUAUUGAUACCCUAAGGAGCCCUCUUGGGGUGCAAAGGAAAAACACACACUUCCCAUAAUGAGCUGAGCUGGUGGUUGUGGGAUAGGGGGCCUUGGGUUCUUAAGCCAUACUUGGUGUGUAGGCUUCCCUCCUCUUUGGAAUCUCAGCCCCGGUCCCACGGCGAGACCCACUGAAUGAGGCUGCAAGUUGAAGGUAGCUGUCUGUCAGCGAAGGAGCUACUCAAAGGCCUCACCAUGCUCAUCCCUUCCUACCCAGCCUCCUGCCAAGUUUCCAACUCCCGCCCCAGCAAUUUUCAGACCUGUUUCAGGCCCCAUGGAGGGGACUCCUUUCCUCCUUCCCUCAGUGGGUACACUGACUAAAGGUUAUGUAGCAUUGCGGGUCCAAAUUAGGUUGCCACCUUGUACAGUGAGGAGUUGAAGCGAAGGGACUAGGGUGACAACUGAGGCCUCUGCAAGAGCCACACACAAGCCCCCUCUUCACAUUAUGGAGACAUUUGGCACUGUUUCCACUGUCUCCAGGGUCCCCCGUCUCAAAUAUCUAUCCAUUAGUAAGAUAAUAGGUCCCUGAAGUCAUUUUUGAUAUUCUAGGAGUCUAGGAGUAUCUCAGAAACUAGGGAAUAUGCUAGGGUCUUUGCCCAGUGUCUGACAGUCCUAGGUCAUCGAAGUUUUGUGUAGGGAACCUCCAAACUUAACAGCCUCAAGCAACUCAAACAUGACCACCCCUUAAUGCCCUGGAAGGAAGGCUGCCUGUAAGGGAGGAUUCGAGCUAGUCACCUGUUUAGGCAUAGUGAGCUCUUUACCCCCACUCUACUGGGGACACUCAAGGAAGCUCCCCUCCCCUGCUUCCACUUCAGGCAUCCAGACUGGCUUCAGAGUUGGCCCAGAGACCUAGAGUGUUCUCGGGGCUUAACAUCUAUGGAAUCGGUCAGGAUAUAGUAGGAAGCCAGGGGCAUGAGGCCAAGGAAGGGAGGGAGGCGGCAGGAAAAGCCUUGGCCCCCAAUUCUUCUGAGAACUACUGUUUUUUUCUGCCUUUCCUGCCCAUCCCCCUCCUCCAUUCUCUGUCUCAGCACCCCUCUGUUGUCUCCCUCCCUCUCCCGUUUGGAUCUGGCCCUUUUGGGGUGCCCCUAGGCCACCCCCUCCUCCUCUGGGUGUCCCAGCACCAACCCGGUAAAUAGUGGGGCUCAGUAAGAGUAUGUGGGAUGUAUGGCGGGACAGGUGGACGAAUGGACGGGCUCAACUCUCACAUCAGGGCAGCUAGGGUGCGGAGGGUGGAGGGCGGGGGGCAUAGGGGCUCGAGGGACUUGGGAUCAGCCGCUACCUGCCCUAGUCUCUGCCCCCUUUGAAGGGGUCCUAUUCCCUAACUGCCCUAGCCUUGGCCCCCCUUGAAGGGGUCCUAUUGUUGAGCACCUGCAUUCAUCCACGCGUUCACUCUGUCAUCCAACAGUUGAUCCUAACUGAGCGUGCCCAUGGUCCUGGCCCUGGGCUUGGCACCUGCCACCUAGCUUGUCCCUUGAUGGCCUCUGCUUCCCAGGGAGGGCAAGCUGGGGGGUUGUCUGGGAGCCAGAGCUGUGGUCUCUGGCUCCAUAGAGGGCAUUCAGAGGGCAUGGGGUGGGCCUGGUUUGCUUGCCCUGCUUUCAUGCAGACCUGCCCACCCCCAGGGCUUGGCCCCCCUCUCUGCCUCCCUCCCCAUUCAUGGCUGAGUAUGGUCUAUUGGCCCCCGCAGCUUAGGGCUGAGGCAAACGCACAAGGAACAGCUGUGAUGUCCCACCGGUCCUGGCCACACAGGUCUCCCUCUAGAGGUUGAUGGGGGUCUGAGGCUAUUGGGCCCUUUCCACAGUUUGUUCCUCCCCCUGGGACUCAGUCCAGCCUUUCUGUCCCCAACUCUCGAUCGGUGGGGACUGUGUCCCAAUGCCAGGAGCCUUCAGAGAGCAUGUGUAGGCCCCGCCUCUGCCUGGCUGCCCACCUGCUCUUUACCUGCUGGCUCGCCCCUGCUUCUACAGCGCCUGGGUUCAUCACCCACUUGGCAUUGUGCUUGCAUAGCCUUUCCCCAUGAUGUUUCCCUAACACCAACCUGUGCCUCAGUCCCUGGGCUCAUCCUACUCCACCCUCUCCCUCGGGUCUUAGCCACUCGUACCUCUGCUUUGUACAGGCUGGCUUCCUCUUGCUAAGCCCACAUUCGUGGCUAACCCGGUCCACCUGCUGCCCUUAGCCUUGCCACCAGGUCCCCAAUCCCAUUGUGCCCCCCAACUCAGUGUUACCUCAGUUGCCAGCAGCCUCCUGGUGCCUGUUGGACAAUCCCUGCCUGGUUCUUCAUCUCCGGUGGGACUGAUUUCCAGGGUCUGAGUGAUCAGGGGCUUAAACCAGGUUUAAUGACUCGGUCCGCUGGCCCUGGAGACCCAUCAUCGUCGUCGUCGUUCCCUGGCCUGUCGCGUCUUCCUGUGCCAUUUCCUGUUGUGCUCAGGUUCUACGAGCCGCACAUCUCCACAGAAGAGCAGGUGAGGCCGCUGCGUGUCUUCAUGCGUCUGGCCUUGCCCACCAGCCACGAUGACUGAAGAGCAAAGGACGGAGGACCCUGGGACGCCCCGUGCGAGGACCCAAGGACGACGCCCAGCGCGGGGACCUCAGGAUGCCCAAUGCGAGGACCCGAAGACGCCCAGCGCAAGGACCCCACGAUGCCCAGCGCGAGGACCCCACGACACUCAGCAGGAGGACCCAUGCCUUCACGACAUGCCACCCUUCUGGAUUAGGCCAAAGUCAUCACCCAGAAUCCUGCGUGGGACCCUGGACACACGGACAUGGACUCAUGCCCCCAGGACCCUCCAACUGUAAAUCGAUGGAAGCGCCCUUGUGAGUUGGGGCCUUCAAAGGGCUGAGGAGAAAAUGCAGACCGAGGGACCAGCUUCUCAAAUAGGCUUCAAGCCUCCAUGACCCGAGCUCACCCCCUGGAAAUGUCUGGAAAACAUAAUGGGCAGGUUUUCUGUCUUCAAAGUUUCCAUCUCAACCUCUUCAAGUUCUUUAUUGUUUGGGGCUGAGACACUUGGGGAUGGUAAUGGGGACUUUCUUUUGUAUCCGUCUUGAAAGGCCAAAAUAUUUUUAUAUUGCUGUAGACAAAGCCACCUAUUUACAAAUGAACUCUGUUCUGUCGUUUCCCACCGGGAAGACUGUACCAUGUUUGUGUCUCUAUGUAUUCUGGGGUCUUGAAACAGGUUUCUCAUGGGGAUGGCCAUUCACUGGGGCCCAGAGGGGCAGAAGGGGAAGUGUCUACCCUGCCAAGGGGAUUUGGGGAAGGGGGGCCCUAGUCUCGAAUCUGCUUCUUGUAUGUCUAGGGGUGAGCCCUGGGAGAAUCUGGUGCUAAAAGAACAUAUGCUGUGUUUGCUCCACAUCUGCCAUUUGUGUUUGUUUCUGGGCUACGGGUUUGCAUACUCCGGUGGUUAACUUGGUGGGAGGAAGUAGGAAGGGCCAAGAGGGAAUGAAUGCUCCGGCUUUUGUGUCUGGAGGCUGUCUCUCUGGUGCGUGUUACAUCACAUAACACACACAUAACACACAUCCAUCAUUAGAUGGAUGAAGAAUCAAGCAUGAAGGGAUAGAGAAACAAAUAGGUAUAGAAAUCAAGUGAACAAGUCAGGAUGGGCGCACACAGCUGCCGUUCUGUCUCUUUGGUCCUAGGCAAUCAAUAUAUGAAUUAAUAAAGUGCCAAGUCGAUAUGUAUAUAGGACCCCAUACAAACAGGUAUCGGAUCAGCAUGGACCUAAGACGUUUUUAAUUAAAGAAGGAAUCUUAAAUAAAAGCAGGACGGAGACGUGGAACUAUCUAAACCAACACUGAGGUUCCAAGGCCCCUUAAUAUGAACAGUGGGAUGAUGUUGGGAUCCAAGCGAGAAAGAGGCAGGAAAGAAAGAAAACAAACAGAAAUGGAUAAACAGCGACAGCAAAGUAAGGGGAUGCGGGACUAUGCAUGGGGGACCCAGCUGGGUUAGUAUCAGGGUGCUGCUUAGUUAAUCCGGGCACCCUGGCCUCACGGGGAUGAAUGACAGCAAGGGAGGAAGCCAGGACACAUAGAAAGUGGUAACAAGACAGAGAGGUAGUAUAGGAAGAAAAAGAAAAAGAAGAAACAAUCCAUUAGGCAGACAGAUGAGUAGCUUCUUGGGAGAGAUAAGCUAGGAUUCAAAAUCUGAACACUUAAUUCUACUAGCAGAGACUUAAAUACUGAAAGGGAAGAAAGCAGGAAGGUAGGGUGGUAGAUGUGAAUGCAUGAACGAGAGGAGGAGGCAGGGAGCUGUGCGAGUCACAGAAGGACGUUUUUCGGUGGCUCUUGUCCACCGGCUUAUGUAGCUGAGAAAGACAAUGUGGAGCGGGGCAAGGAAAGAAAUGUAAAUUCUAUCUCAAGAAGAAAAGGUAACAAUGUGCCCCCAGAUAGGUAGAUGAAUACAGAUAGAAGACAGAGGCCUGCUCGGGAUAGGACGAAAGGCUGGGCCAGCAGACUGGUUAAUUCCCAUCUGUGUUUUUGCAAUGGACAAUGACCCACCCAGCCAAGAGACCUUUCAGGCAUCAAUAUGUCAGGGAGGGCUUCAAUGAGGCUGUGGAGGGGAGGCCCGUUAAUAGCAGAUUAUGAUGUAUCCAAUUAGGUGCACCUGCCCUCUGGAAGUGUAGAGACCAGUAUUGAAAUAGAAAGAAAGACCGAAUGGAUGGCUGAGUGCACGAAUGAAUGAAUGAGAAAAAAGAUUGGCAUUCACUCUAAGGGGGAGGGUGCUGCAGAGCCCAAGGGUCAUCUGAUCUCCCAGAGGAUAAAAGGGAGAAAGAGGGGAGAAAGUAACAAUAAGAUGGGGAGAAAUGAAAAGACGCACAGAAGAUGAUAAGUGGAACAAUUAUGUCCAGGAGCGAGGGCUUGUUUAACACAAGUCAUCCAUAUUAAUUCAAAAUUGAGGCCCUGGGCUGGGGUGCAGCUCAGGGAUGGAGCCGUUGCCUAGCGUGUGCCAAGCUCUGGGUUCCGUCUCAGCCCGAAAAAACAAACACAAAGAACAAAAUUAUGGCCCCCGAAAUUGUAAAUGACAACGAUGAUGGUGAUAAUGAUGACGGAGGUGGAACAAAGAGAGAGAUAAAUUAGAAGAUGGAGAAAAAAAAAGAUGUUGAAAAAAAUUUAGAUGGACGAACACAUAGGAGAAAAAGCAGUUGUUAGCUAAGUAUUUAAAUAUGAUGAAUACAUAUUAUCUGUCGAGUGUGUUAAAUAAUAGGAGUGGAGACUUACCCAUAAAAAAAAUAACAAAUAUUGAAAAGAAACAAUUUGAGGAGUGGCCAUGAAAAACCGAGUGAGAAAUGAUGCUGCACUCAAACCGUGUAAUAGCUAAGACUGUGCAAAGGAAUAUAGAAAAGGGGCAGGACAGAUAGACACAAUGAAAAGGUUGAGGGCAUAAAUGAAUAUACAUGGAGACAUGUGCCUGAGAGGGCUACACAGGGUGGAGAGGGAGAGAGAGGCAGCAAGAAUUAUGAUUAAUUCAAAACUGGGCUCUUGAGAUAACUAAAUGUCCCCCGAACCAAAGCGUCAGCACAAGGAAUUAAAGAACAAAAGAGCUGCAGGCAGACCCAUGUGGAGAAGGCUUGGGACCCUCAGAUCAGGCUUAAUCUAAAUCUGUGCACCUGAGGUCCAUAAAUAAAAGAAUAAAUAUUGAAAUAAAAGAGUGACAGAAAGAAUGAAUGGGUACACGAAUGACUGAAUUAGAAAUGGAAAUGGCUAGAGCAGCCAGGAAGGAGUGGCCCAGGGGAGUUUUGCUCAUCUUAUUCUGGGCACCUGAGGUCCCUUAGUAAAAAGAUGCAAAGGAGAAGGGGAGAAGGGAAAAGGGGGCCAUGAGAGAAAAUGAAAGAGGAGGAAAUGAGAAACGGGUAAGAGAGGAAGCAAUAUGGGGUGCCUCAUAAGAGAAAGAUCUGUGAGGAUUAGUGAUGAGGGUCUCAUUAAUCCUAAAGAUCGAUGAGGUAAUCCAGACCCAGGUUCUUACGGGGAGAGAGAAUGGAGAGAAUUUUUAAAAAAAAAGACGCAAAAAGGAGAGAAAGAUAAUAAAACAAGCAGCAUGAUAAAUGGGUAAUUAAGAGAGGCUGUCGGAAUAGAAACAGUAAUGAGUUCCCAUGCAUAGUCCUUAAACAGAUAAAUACAUUAUACCUUUCAAAGGAGGUGUAAAAAAUCGAAGACCACUAUGGCCCCCAAACCAGGAAGCACCUUCUGUUGUAAUAAAAUACAUGCAGUGGAGGGCCAUAAAUAACAGUAAACACUUAAUGUAAAAGGUGACCAGACACAGGGAAGAAGAUUGCAAGCACAGAUACAUGAGGGAAGCAAUGUUUGUUCUGCACGUGGGAUUUUGAAUAAUACAAUUAUGUUCACAGGAAAUUAAUAGGUGGAAAAAAAUCUCAAACUAAGAUACAAGAAGGACAAGGAAAGGAAGAGAGACAUGGGAGACAGGGCGGAGACUCGGGACGGGCUUGGCAGGCCUUGCUCCGUCCUGCACACCCAGGCUGAUAAAGCGAGACCAUCAGGAACAGUAAAAGACAGCAGAAAGCGGGGGGGGGGGGGGGAUAGGAAAGGAAUGAAAACAACUUGGAAAAGAAGGAAGAGGGAUUUGCAAAGAGAGGGCUUCAGAGAUCUAACGAUUAUGGUUCAUUUAAAGCCGUGCCAUUGGUGUCCCCAAAGGAAUCAAAUCUUAACGAAGGUUUUUGUGAAUGAGAAGAAGAGGACAAAAAUAUAGAAGAAAAAAAAGGAGAGUCGAAAGGCAAGGAGAGGGAGGAGGUAGCACGUGCUGGGCACUGAUUGAGAUUGGUAAUGGAUGGCUAUUGGCCAACCACCCACCACUUCCACACAGCCUAACUGACUGGGAGCAGCUCACUGAGGAAGGCCUUGGACCACCAUUGCCAUUUCCUGGUUGUGUGGGCCAUUUCAUUGUCUGUCAUUUCCUCAGUCUGAAGAUACAUUCUUGCACAGUUCCCUAUCCAUAGACAUGGAUAGGUGAGACGGGUUUAGCUCCGGGCCCUGCAGGUGGUUGAAUGUUAAACUCAGUGGGUAUCUUGACCCCUCCCUGGGCAAGGAUCUCUUGUGAACCUUCUAUGAGGGGGCUUUGCCAACCAAGGGACAGGAGGAGGGCAGGGGACAGGAGGCCUUGCCUGUUGCAUACCAUCUUGCGUGUGAGUCACAUCCGGGGUCUGGUGCAGGGUGGUAAGGGGGACCUGGAAGGCCUGAGCUCCAAGAAGCACUAGGGUGCUUGUUCUCGCAGCUCUCUGAGAUGUACCCAGGGGGCGCUAGUCCAUCUCAGCUCAGGGUUCUUGGCAGGUGCUUCAUCUUGGGCUUUCAGACAUGAUCUUGGGUCCCAGCUCCUAGACAUGCCACCCCUGGAGCCCGUUUCAAGGCCUGUCUUCAGGAUGUUGAAAGAUAUGUUCUGUAACCAGCAAAAAGUGCCUUUGUUGUACUGUUUUGAAACUGUCUUCUCGCUUGCCCCCGUGGGCUGCGUGGGGGAGACUUGGAGAGUUGUUUGUCUGGUGCCCCUGGGACUCUCUGCUUCUGUUCAUUUUUCUUUCUCUGCUAUGGACCAGAUUUGCACAGUUGUGUGUUGUAUGCUUGUGUCUUUCAAUUAAAAUGGAGUCAUAGCCCC